GAAAUGCGAUAAGUAGUGUGAAUUGCAGAAUUCAGUGAAUCAUCGAAUCUUUGAACGCACAUUGCGCCCCUUGGUAUUCCAUGGGGCAUGCCUGUUCGAGCGUCAUUUGUACCCUCGAGCUCUGCUUGGUGUUGGGUGUUUGUCCCGUCUCCGCGCGUGGACUCGCCCCAAAGUGAUUGGCAGCCGGCGUACUGGUCCCGGAGCGCAGCACAUGUCGCGCAAACGAGUGCCUUGGUACGGCGGCGUCCAUAAGCCCCUCUCUCACGCUCUUGACCUCGGAUCAGGUAGGGAUACCCGCUGAACUUAAGC
Molecule: unclassified non-coding RNA, 309 nt
Filed under: plant metagenome
Description: partial contains 5.8S ribosomal RNA, internal transcribed spacer 2, and large subunit ribosomal RNA
Rfam family: 5.8S ribosomal RNA (bases 1-105)
Source: RNAcentral